RNAcentral lists this ribosomal RNA (534 nucleotides) under uncultured bacterium. RNAcentral describes it as "bacterial SSU rRNA". It matches the Rfam family "Bacterial small subunit ribosomal RNA", at positions 977 to 1509 of the family's 1533-position model. The record is from RNAcentral.
GGCCUUGACAUACUAAGAACUUUCCAGAGAUGGAUUGGUGCCUUCGGGAACUUAGAUACAGGUGCUGCAUGGCUGUCGUCAGCUCGUGUCGUGAGAUGUUGGGUUAAGUCCCGCAACGAGCGCAACCCUUUUCCUUAUUUGCCAGCGGGUCAUGCCGGGAACUUUAAGGAUACUGCCAGUGACAAACUGGAGGAAGGCGGGGACGACGUCAAGUCAUCAUGGCCCUUACGGCCAGGGCUACACACGUGCUACAAUGGUCGGUACAAAGGGUUGCUACCUCGCGAGAGGAUGCUAAUCUCAAAAAAGCCGAUCGUAGUCCGGAUCGCAGUCUGCAACUCGACUGCGUGAAGUCGGAAUCGCUAGUAAUCGCGGAUCAGAAUGCCGCGGUGAAUACGUUCCCGGGCCUUGUACACACCGCCCGUCACACCAUGGGAGUUUGUUGCACCAGAAGUAGGUAGUCUAACCGCAAGGAGGACGCUUACCACGGUGUGGCCGAUGACUGGGGUGAAGUCGUAACAAGGUAGGCGUAGAUGA